This is a non-coding RNA of Equus caballus (horse), 8901 nucleotides long. The record is from RefSeq and is a predicted model, not a curated record. Lineage: Eukaryota; Metazoa; Chordata; Mammalia; Perissodactyla; Equidae.
AUAUCUUCCUCUAUCUUUUAAUUUUAAUCUUAAUUUUAAUUUUAAAGUGAGUUUCUUUCAUAUAGCAUACAGUUAGCUAAUUUUUAAAUCAAAUUUGAUAAUCCCAGUAGUUUGCAUGAAGUGUUGGACUCAUUUACUCUUCUACAUUUUAUUUUAUUGUAGUAAGAACACUUAAUGCGAGAUCUACCCUCUCAAUAAAAUUUUAAGUGUACAAUACAUUAUUGUUGACUGUAGGUACAGCGUCACACAGCAGAUCUCUAGAGCUUAUUCAGUUUGUUUAACUGAAACUUUAUGCCCAUUGUUUAAUUAUUCAUCAUUUCCUUCUCCCCCCAACCCCUGGCAACCACCAUUCCACUAGCUGAUUCUGUGAAUUCGACUCUUUUAGAUGCAUCAUAUAGUUGGAAGCAGGAUCUUGAAGAGAUAUUCGCACUCCCAUGUUCAUUGCAGUAUUACUCACAACAGCCAAGAUGCACUAACAAUCUAAGCGUCCAUCAAAAGAUGAAUGGAUAAGGAAGAUGUGGUCUGUAUAUACAGUGGAAUGCUACUAAGUCUUAAUGCAGAAGGAAAUUCUGCAAUAUGCGACAACAUGGACUUUGAAAACAUUAUGCUAAGUUAAAUAAGCCAGUUACAGAAAGGAAUCAUUUAUUUUUUUGUGAUUUGAAACAUGGUUAGAUUAAAUCUACCAUGUUGGCUGUUUUAUACUUAUUCCAUCUGUUUUUUGUUUCUUUUUUCUCUUUUUAAGCAUUUUCCAGUGCUAUUGGGUGUUAUCCCAUUUUAUGUCCUCUAUUGACUUAAAUUUCAGUGGUUGUCUGAGCAUGUACAAUAUACAUCUCCAUGUAAUCAAUUAAUAAUAUACUGCCUCAUAUUUAGUGAAGGCUCCUGCCGUGGUAUAUUGCCAAUCCUCUUCCCCAUCCCUUUGAUAUUUUUAUCGUGGCCUUGACUUUUACCUAUCCUGUAAACACGCAGUUAUAUUUAAUAGUGUUUAAAAGGAGUAAAAUGUCUUUAACAUUUAAUUCCAUUCCAGAGCUCUUCAUUUCUUUGUAGACCCACAUCUCAAUCUAACAUCAUAUUUUUUUUGCUCAAAGAAUAUUCUUGACAUUUUUGUGGAGAAUGUUCACAAGCAGUGAGUUCUGUGAGCUUCUGUUUCUCUGAGGGAAGCUUUAUUACCCUUUGUUUUCUAAAAGAUAUUUUCUCUGGGUAUAGAUUUCUGGGGUUGAAAGUAUAGAUUUCCAUGUAGGAAAAUUGAAUUGUUUUCUUUCAGUAUUUUAAAAUGUUCCUCUAUUAUCUCUGGCUUGCAUAAUUUCUGAUAUUUUUAUCUUUGUUUCUGUGUUCAUAUUUCUUUUUCUCUGGCUACCUUUAAGAUUUUAUCAUUGUCUUUGGUUUUUAGCAUUGGAAUAUGAUGUGCUUAAGAUAUUUGUUUGCUUGUCCCUGCCUGAUCUUCUCUGAGCUUCUUCAUAUAUGCUAUGUUGUCUGUCAUUAAUUUUGGAAAGUUCUCUGUGAUUAUUGUUUUAAAUUUUCCUUCUCCUUUUGGGAUUUCAAUCACACCUAAGUUAGAACAUUUAGUAUUGUUUCACAGGUCAUGAAUUUUGCUAUUGUUUUCUUUUUCUCUUUGUGUUUCAAUUUGUAUAAUUUCUAUUGACCUCAUUUUAAAUUCACGGAUUCUUUCCCUGGCUGCCUCAAAUUUUUGAUAAGCUUAUCAAAGGCAUUCUUCAUCUCAGUUGCUGUGUUUCUAUUUCUACCAUUUCUGUUUGAUUCUUUUUUCAGUUUCCAUCCCUCUGCAGAAGCCACACGUUUGAUCUUUUGUGUUGUUCAUCUUUUUGAUUAGAGCCUUUUUUUGCCACUGAAAAUUGUUUAUUAAGACACAAAGCAAUGAACAGUUAAACAAUCCUGAUUUUGUUACUUUUUGGUGGGAGGAGCAUGGGUCAUUGGACAGGUAAGGGACAGACAGAGACAGCCCAGAAGGAAAGUCAGCUCUAUCCACCCGUACUGCUUUCCCAGGCCAGCUAGGUUCAACACCCCUCAAUUGCAACUCACUGUGCUGCCGUAAAUGCGUGUUGUGGCUACAGACAGAGUUGGUUUGGCCUCCUGCCACAGGGAGAGGUUGGGAACUUAGAGCAGGAGCUACAGGGCAACUAAGAACUUGACAGAUUCUCCAGUUAUUGGUACAAAAUAGAGCAGCCAGGCCCAAUUGGAGGGAUGGAGUUGGUUUCCAGACAAGCCAGGGUAGACCAAUAAUCGUUGAAGAGAUGCUCUGAGCUCAGAAUGGGCAGCUGCUCCUAGUGCGGGAGAACUUAAUGGAAGAAAAAUCCAAGAAGACCAAUCCAAGGUCAAAUUUCUUUUCAUUCUCUGAAUCAUGACACAUCAGGGAAGAGAGCAGUCAAGAAUGUCUCAUUCCUGGUUUUGUCAUAAUGUCUCUCCCUGCUAAUUUUCCCCUCCCAUCGGGCACAUUUAUUAACACAUUUAUUAUAAUGAUUUAAAAUUCCUUGUCAGACAAUUCCAACAUCUGUGUCAUAUCUGAAUCUGGUUCAGAUUAUUGCUUUGUCUCUUCUUAGUGUGUUUAUUCUUGCCUUUAAAUAUAGAUCUUUUCAUUUCAUUGUUGACAUCAGAUGUAGGAGAGGAGAGACUGAGGUAAAUAAUAUGUAUGCUUGGAAAUGGGCAUACCUUUCCACUGGCCCUUUAAUGCAAAGGUAUGAGUCAAUAUAGUUAAGAGUUGGGCUGGUUUUGUGGUGUCGUUGCUAUGGUUAUCACCAGUGCACUACAGGCUUCAAAUUUCUGUAGAAAUACUUUGUAUUUAGAGUGGGGUUGGUUUUCUAAAGAAAGGCCUCUCCAAUGUUGAAUUUGAGGUCUUUCCUUUAUGGCAUGCCUCAGAGAUCACUGCAUGCUGUUUCUUCACUUAAUGGUGUGGUGUGCUCUUAGAAGUGCAUUCUCUAACGUUCUAAUUAAGCCACAAUAUUAACCCUGAAUAAUAUCCCUGGGUCUGAGGUUGUAGCCUCUUUCAUCCUGCUGCCCUUUCGCUGACGGUAGUUGUGGGCCCAAUGAAUAAUCCAACUGCUUUCCAAGGGAUAAUUUUUGUUUGCUUGUUUGUUUUUUAGCUCUGAUGUAUUCCCUCGGUUGUAAUGAGUUUUCCCCAGUGCCCUGAGGGCUGCAGUUCUUCGUUGUCGUUUAUUCCCAGAGAGUAAGGAUUUAGUUCAGCAGUGGACAGGGAAGAGGAUCCAAGUGGAGUUUCUCGUCCCUCCUGCUCAGCUGCUUUCUCUUAGCCCAGCUCUGCAGCCCAUGGAUGCUUCUUAUGGUUUUUUCCAAUGUUUUCUGUGAGCACCCAGUGGGAUUUGUGGUGAAAUUAUGCAAGAGGAUGCAGACUCCAAUAUCUUCAGCUCCCAGUGGUUUCACAGUGUCCUGCCGGCCCACACUCAGCUGUCAUCAAUUUACGGCUAUUCCUGCUAAAAUCUUACCUUUGCAUCUACCCCGGCAUUUAAAGGAACACCUCAACAUCGGAGAAAUUUUGAGAAAGUCACAGCCUGUAUACUUCUGGAGGAUGCUGGAAGAACAAAGCAGCAGAGCUGGUUUUGGACCAGCAGGAUGCUGGACUCGGAGACAGCAGGAUGAGGAUCUUGAAGUCUCUGCAUCUCAGCUUGGAAUCCUAGUAACCAACAGAACAGUCCCACUGACCAUGCUGGUUAUAUGAUCUGCCCAUCUUGAGAAAAUCUCCCUACCACUGCCAGCAUGUGCCUUCGUCAUUUACUACUGUACGAUUGUUAAAAAGUUAUUUCAUCUCUAGUGCCUCCUUUUCCUUACCUCUGAAACAAGAAUAUACAAGCAUCUAUUUCAUAUAUUUUGCAAGAAUUAAAUGGUAUCAAACGAGGAAAGUGUGUAGCACAAAGCCUGGCACAUAGUGUUUGUAAGUAUUAUGGUUGUUAUGAUUAUAAUCCUCUCCUUCACAUGCUUGGUUAUAGGUGAGUUCUUUCCCCACAGCUCCAAAAGAAUAAAAUAAUAGUUUGCUGGAAAAGUCAACUUAUAAAAUGCCAGGAAAAUUUAAAUGAAAUUCUCCCUGUCUAACUGUGUCACCUAAAGAAAGUCAUUUACCAAUGUAGCUUUCACUUAUCUCCUCUGAAACUGAGAAGCAAGACACAGGCUAUGAUCUGAGGUGUUUUCUAAAUUAUAAAUUCUUUUAUUUCAAUAUUGUUUCUAUUUCAGUAACACUAUUUCUUCCUUUACAUUAAGGAGUACAGUUAGUUUACCCCUCUGAAUGAGUCUAGUAAUGGGAGCAUUCCCCCAGCAAGCUGCCUGCGUUAGUAGUUAACAGCAUAACUUGACAUUAGUGACAGGUUGUUUCCUAAAUGCUGACAGUCACUUAAUCCGGAAGAUAAGGCCAAAGCAAGAGACACAGCAGCCAAAAAGGAAAAUCACCUUAACUGGCAGUUUCAAUAAAAGUAUAUGCCUUACAGGGAAUAGAUUAAUUGAGUCUAACCUCCCUUCCUUUCUCUCAAUCCCUAAUACCAGUGAGUAUUUCCAGGAGUGAGGGUGGUGAAAUGUCCCCCUUUCUAGAUGAGAGAGAGAAAACAGUGUGUUCAGAGGAAGGGAUGCUUUUUACUCCCUUGUCAGAAUGAUGUGAAACCCACUUGACUCUAGCAUGCUACAAGCUUUUUAUUUUCCAGUGAAAAUUAUCUUAACAUAGUAUAAGUGUAAAAUGCUCACAGUGAUUCCAGGACUUCAUUGGUUUAUAAGUUCUGGGCUAAAUAUGUAAAAUUAGUCUCUUCAUCCAAUCAGCAAGAUAGCAAAGUUCAUAUUGGACCCGAUGCUUUGACAUGUCUUUGUGGGACCAAGUAGAAAUGUUUGGUAAACAUUUGGUUAUAGAGGUCUGGAACCCAGAAAAUGGGUCUAGGCUGCAGAUAUACAUUUGGUGGUCUACAUAUAGGUGGUAUUAUUAAAGUAGGAAUUAAUGAGGCUAGCUAAAAUAAGCAUGUGUAGAAAGACAUGAGGGCCUAGAUCGGGGCCUAAAGGGCGUUUUACUUGAAGACUUUUAGUUAAUAAAAGGAAGAAUUCCAGGAGAAUGUCGUCUCAUGGGAGAUGAUGAAACUGUUUUGGUAACAAAAGUACUGUUCUUUGGUAUAAGUUUUGACUUCUAGGCUGUCAAAAAAGAUGAGCAAUACUGUCACGUGGUUCUCAAUCUGCAACAAUAUUACUUUUUUCUUUGACCCUCCAACACUCCAAACUUAUCCCAACCAUUGCACUGGCAACUAAUUCUGCUCAAAAUGCUCCUCCCUGGCCUCAAAUGUGGAGGAGAACAGCCUCGCCUUGUGAGGCACUUGCUGGAGACCAGGUCAUUGCAUGAGGCCAUUCUAAGCAAAAGAGGAGAGGGCUGCUUUCCUAUCCAGCAGAAAUAAGGGUGUUUGAUAUUCUGAAUUCCAUUUACAAAAAUAUCCCCAUGGUCUCAGGGUCCCACGCUUCCUUACAGGGGUCAAGGCAUCGCAAAGCUGCAUACUUAGUCUUCAUUGCAGCAUUUAGAACCUUAUAACCAUUCACUGGGCCUGAUUUUCAGCACAAUCUUCCUUGUAGCUGAAAUAGCUAAGAACUGCUUCUACCAUUGCCAAAGAAUUCGUGAGGUUUUUCAUAGCAUGCUUAAGGUUAGGGGCAAUCUCUCCUGAGCCUUUUAUGUGUGUGUGUGUGUACGUGUGCGUGUGCACAAGGUCUCUAAGUCUGGCAAAAGCAGACAUCUCACAUAACAUUUCUUAUAAUUAUCAUUGCUUCUCUACUAAUCAAGAGCAGUUACCUUCCAACUCCUUACCUUGUAUCUGAGCUUCUUCCUAAUUAAACACUGCUGAAAGCCUUAGUAAAAAUGAUGCCAGUGCAUGCCAGGGAUUAUUACUCACCCUAAUUAACCACAAAAAUAUAUCUCUCUUGACUUCAGAUGAGUGAGAAUGCAAGCCUGAAAUCUUAUUCUGAGGGUUUGUUUGUAGGGCCACUGAUGUAACCAAUUGUCUUAGUCUAAAUUUUCUGGAAAAUCCAGCCAAAGGUAUAGUUUAUAUGGCAGAGCUUUUUUGGGGGGAGGGAAGGGGUGGUGGGAGGAUGCUGCAUUACCAGGGCAACAAGACUGAGGGAAGAAGUAUGAGGGAUGCUCUAGGGGAGAAGAGAGAGAAAUAUAAGUUUGUGAAUAACCAUGCUGGCCACAAAUUCACAAUGGAAUAACAAGGAAUACAAGCACACAGGGCAUCUCUGGAAAGGACAUAUGGCAUUAUUGUGUCUGAACUUGUCCAUUAGAGUGGGAGAGAAGGACACUUCUUUAUGUCACCUGUCUUUCAUUGCUCAAAGUUUAUCCCAUGGGGUUUAAGACCCACCCAUCUCUGGACUGUGUUAACGGGCCCUGCCAUGGGGAAGCCAGAGCUGCCAUGGUUCUAAUUGAACUGGACCUUGGUGCUAGAGCUGCUGCAGCUGCUGCUUCAGUAGGUGCAAUGGUGACCAUGACAAAGCUUAGCCCUUGUCCUAUGGAGAGGACAACAAUUUGAGGCUGAGGCAGAUGCUGGGGUUGAGCAGAUAAGGGAAGAAGUAUAACUUGGCUAUUCAGUCUUUUAAUAUUCUAUCACAACUAUAUUUAAAAAUAUUUUUAUUAGAUGCUCUGUGGGAAUAUACCAAUGACAUAAACAGUAUUCAAAAUACAAAAUAUUUCUUUUCCUUUUCCUAAUAAUGGUUAACAUUACUGCCUAUCAUUCUUGUCUUUUUUUAAAAAAAGUAUUCUUCUUAGGUUUGGUCUAAAUUAGCAUAGCAGACUGGGGAUGUUUUUGCUCUUUAUUUUCUGCAUGUAACAGAAUUCUCCCAGAGCUGAUCAGGCGAUUGUACUAAUGUGGUUGCGUUCAUAAGGGUUACUGACAUUCCUGGGACCAUACCUCCAACUGCAUAACUCAGGAAUUGUAGCCCUACCCAAAAAGUCUCCUUUGCUUCUUGGGGUAUCUAUCUACUAUGAGCUUACAAACAGUCUUUCUUCACCCUUGUGGAUAGCUCAUGCACAAACUUCCAGUGUGCAACUUAUCGUUCCCUUGAAGUUGUUAAACAAACUCUGCCUCUAAAGUUGGGGCUGUCAGUGGGAGAGAUAUGUCUGUGCCCAGGUAACAAGCUAUGGAUUAUCUAGUUGUCUGAGUUGCAAUGGAGCCCUCAUUUUAGCCAAAACGUACUACAUUUCAAGCAUAAAUGGAGAAAAUAUCUGACCAUCUAGCUUUACUUUGCCAUUCAGAAGAUAUUUUGUUCUUCCUUUGUCUUAGUGAUUGCAUUGAGGAAAGAGUCCUUAAACUUAGGCCAGUGAACUUCUGCCUCUGAUCUGAGUCAAGAAAUCAGAUUCUGAAAACACUCCUAAGAUAUGCGUCAUGUUAUAUUCCUCUCAGAAGACAUUUUCAAACUCCUCCUUUUUAAAGCAAAAAACAGCUAUGGACUGAAUGUAUCCCCCUCAAAUUUAUAUGUUGAAGCUCUAACCCCCCAGUGUGAUUGCAUUUGGAGAUGGAGCCUUUGGGAGGUUUUUAGGGUUAGAUGAGAUCGUGAGGGCCAGAACCUCAUGACAGGAUUAGUAAGCUUUAGAACUACAAGAAGAGAGAGAGAUCACUCUGUCUGUUAUGCAAGGACAUGGAGAAGGCUGCUGUCUGCAAGCCAGAAAGCGAGUCCUCACCAGAGUCCAACUCACCUCAGACUUCCAGCCUCCAGAACUGUGAGAAAAUAAACUUCCUUUGUUUAAGCCACUUGGUCUAUGGUGUUUUCUUAUGGCAGCCCUUGCUGACUAAUACAGCAGCAUCCAAAUCAAUACUUGAAAAUAUACCACUUAUGGGAUGAAUCUGCAUUCCAUUUUUUAUGCCUAGAUAUGCUUGAUUCAUGUUUAGGCACAAAUUUAUGUUCCUGCUUCCUACAGUUCCUUAAACCUGUGUAUGGAAUAAUUUCUGCCUCUUCUUCUGCUGAAAGAGCUCUGUGACCCAGUCACAUCAAAAUAGAUCGACAGCAACUUUAAUGGAAGAUCAAUUCUGUUAGGCAGGUAUAGAUCCAGGCAAUUAGUAACAUAAAUUCCCAAAGUAAAAAAUGUCAGGUUUAGAUUGCUAUCUACUUGUUAUACAAUAUGCUUCAAAAGAGCUUUGAAUCAAAAAAAUUAAAAUUUACUCUGGUUUAAUAUCUUUCCUUUUUAAAAUUUUUUAAUAUGAAAAAUUUCAGGGGCCAGCCCAGUGGCAUAGUGGUUACCUUCGCGUGCUCUUCUUCAGUGGCCCGGGGUUUGCAGGUUCAGAUCCUGGGCAUGGACCUAGCAUGGCUUAUCAAGAUACGCCAUUUUAUAUGGCGUCCCACAUAAAACAGAGGAAGAUUGGCACAGAUGUUAGCUCAGCAACAAUCUUCCUCAAGCAAAAAGAGGAGGCUGGGCAACAGAUGUUAGCUCAGAGCCAAUCUUCCUCACACACACACACACACACACACACACACACAAAUUUCAAAUGUCUAUAACAAUAGCUAGACUAUAAUAAAAUCUUAUAUUUGAAUCACCAGGCUUCAAAACUGUCAACUCAUGGCUAAUCUUGCUCUACCUAUACUCUCACCCACUUCCCCUUCAGCCCAUUGCAUCUAUAAGAAGCUUAGUACAGAUUGCUGAAAGGUAAAGUUUUCUUUUAAAAAUAUAAAUGCAUUAUCAUCAGCACACUUUAAAAUUAACAAAAAUUUAAUCCUAUUAUCAAAUAUCAAGUCAGCGUUGAAAUUUUAAGUGUAGGGCUUGAUCAAGUGAAUAUACAGUGAUUUGUAAUUUAUAAAAAAGAGAAAUUUAUUUCCCUUUAGUAGUCACUAUUUUUAACUUACAUCCAAAUGAGAUAGCUUCAUUGCAUGCUAAAAUACUCCAUAAUAUACUCAUUUAUCCCUGAAUGUAUCUGAAUAUUGCAAAUUUAUGUUGUUCUA